GUCGACGUCAGUGCAUUGUUAAAAGUAGUCGUCAAAGUGUCGAACUAGAACUAAUAAAAAAUUGAAACCUUCUAGGUUAUCACUUCUCAGCUUACAGUAAUGGCACACUGCCAAUGUGUGUAGUUGCAUGAGAGUUCAUUCAUGGUCCUGUUAAAGCACAAACCAAGCCCCACGAGUACUUUUUGGAGGCCAGCUUUCACACAUUCUGUGAAACCACUCUUUACAUCCCGUACACUCUAUGGUGUGCCAAGCCUGUGUUCUUGUGGAAUUCAGUGGGUGAUAAUCUAUUCUUCGACAACUGCAGGAAUGCUGACAUAACUUUACUUAACAGGCAUUUUUUCAAAUGUUGCCUCAUGACGCCCCUGUUAUAUAUGGACUGUGAUGGAUCUUCGCCCAAUGCUAGAGUUAUGGCAUUUGCAAUCGCAUGAAGGCCACAAUCAUUCGGCAAUUGCUGCUGACAUCCAACACUUUGGAGCAGCGGGAAAUUCCAGAUCCCAGCCGAGAGUCGUAUCAUAUAAUCCACCAAUAUUUGGAAACUGAUGUUUGAUCAGAUUUAUGGCUGCAUUGAUAUGGCUUGAUUCAAGCCAAUACCCCGGAACGGUAAUAUCUUCGAUUUCGGCUUUUGACAAAUUCACCUGUUGGUUUGAUCUCUGCGACCCACGGGUCUGAUAGUGAAAGACCGGAGUCUGAAAAUGUAAAUAGAUAAUUAGAUGUUGAACAUCAUUCGGUGAAUUAGCCUGCGACUUGUUGGCCGAAGAAUUGGCUGGCGAGCUGGUGAUGGAAGAAUUGGUUGGCGACAAGAUGGCCGAUUUGGCUGGUAAUUUUGUGGUCGGCGAAUUUGCAGAAGAAUUGGAACACGAGCUGGCCGGUGAUUUAGAUGGCGACAAGCUACACGAUUUGGCUGGUAAUUUUGUGGUUGGCGAAUUGGAAGCCAAGCUGGCCGGUGGUUGCGACAAACUAGCCGAUUUGGCUGGUAAUUUUGUGGUCGGCGAAUUUGCAGAAGAAUUGGAACACGAGCUGGCCGGUGAUUUGGUUGGCGACGAACUAGCCGAUGUGGUCGGCGAAUUGGAAGCCGAACUGGCCGAUGAAUUUGGUGGCGGCAAUGUUGGCGAUUUGGCGGGGGACGAAUUUGCUGACGACAAUCUGCCCGGUGAUUUGGUGACUGAAGACAAUAUGGCCAAUGAUUUGGUGGCUGAAGUCAGACUUGCUGUUGAAUUCGCUUGCGACUUGGUGGCCGGUGAAUUGGCUGUCGUCUUAAUGGAUGAAGAAAAGCAAUCCGGCGCUGAGGUAGCUUUGGAAUUUCCUGGCGGUAAGGUGACAAGUUCUGGUAGUGAUGUGAUUGGCCUGGCUGGUGAUUUGGGAGUCCACUUAACAGCUGAAAACCAACCCCUAUGAUUAGCAUUGAAAUUGAUUCUUUGUUUGAGGGAAUUGACUUAAACCCUAGCAUUACGAGGACUCGAUUCAAAGAGUUAAAUGCCGAUCUUUUCCGCUCUACCAUGGAACCUGUCGAGAAAGCCAUCCGUGUUCUGUGACACCAAUAUGGACAGAGCACAAAGCCCAGAUUCAAGAUAUCGUUCUCGUUGGUGGAUCAAUCCGUAUUCCGGAGGUGGAAAAGCUCUUGCAACAUUCCUUCAACGGAAAAGAGGUUAAGAAAUACAUCAAUCACGAUGAGGCCGUUGCCUACGGUGCGCUGUUCAAACUGCAAUUCUUCAGGGAGUCAAAUCUGAGGCUGUCCAAGAUCUUCAAAAAAUGAAUUGAAGUGAAAACUUACAGCGAAUUUUGCCAUGUUGAACAACUUGAUUUAUUGCAAGAGACAGAGAGAGAACUUGUGAAGUUGUGAUGUUACUGUUGAUUUGCUGGUACAAACAACUGAUGACAGUGGACUCGAAGACGGUCGGUAUUUAUAGCAAGAAGGUAAAACCUGCCGGCCAUAUGGCCAGGGUGAGAAAGCGCAAAGCGGCAUACAUGCAUUCAUUGCCUUACUCAUUAUCAAAAUCAUUAACGGCGAAUUAUCUUGUGUAGAAUUGAUGCGCAAAUAGCUAUACCGACCAGUUUAAUAUCAGAAACUAUAUAUGUCUGUAAUUAUUGACUUUGUACUAAAAUAUGUAUGAAACAAACAGAACUUGUUACCAAGCCCAUCUUUGUUAUUCGGUAUUUAUGUAUAUUUGUUAUUCAAUUACUCUUUGAAUCUGUUCAUACUACAAUAAACGGUGGAAUUCAA
This 2221-nucleotide unclassified non-coding RNA is filed under the name Daphnia pulicaria. RNAcentral describes it as "uncharacterized LOC124311034, transcript variant X1". Lineage: Eukaryota; Metazoa; Arthropoda; Branchiopoda; Diplostraca; Daphniidae. The record is from RNAcentral.